RNAcentral lists this unclassified non-coding RNA (347 nucleotides) under soil metagenome. Its description in RNAcentral is "partial contains 5.8S ribosomal RNA, internal transcribed spacer 2, and large subunit ribosomal RNA". The stretch from base 1 to 120 matches the Rfam family "5.8S ribosomal RNA", at positions 35 to 154 of the family's 154-position model. The record is from RNAcentral.
GAUGAAGAACGUAGCGAAAUGCGAAAAGUAAUGUGAAUUGCAGAAUUCAGUGAACCAUCGAAUCUUUGAACGCACAUUGCGCCCGCUGGAACUCCGGCGGGCACGCCUGUCCGAGCGUCAUUUCAACCCUCAGGCCCCCCUUCGCGGGCGGGCCUGGUGUUGGGGCCCGGCCGCUACCCUGCGGCCGUCCCCUAAAUCCAGUGGCGGCCUCGCCGUGAUCCCUUGCGUAGUAAUGCACCUCGCACCGGAGAGCGCCGUGGCCACGCCGUAAAACCCCCAAUUUUCAAUGGUUGACCUCGGAUCAGGUGGGAAUACCCGCUGAACUUAAGCAUAUCAAUAGCGGAGGA